UACAGAGGGGGCAAGCGUUAUUCGGAAUUAUUGGGCGUAAAGGGCGCGUAGGCGGUGUUGUAAGUCAGAUGUGUAAUCCCCGAGCUUAACUUGGGAAGUGCAUCUGAGACUGCAGUGCUAGAGUGCUGGAGAGGGUGGUAGAAUUCCACGUGUAGCGGUGAAAUGCGUAGAGAUGUGGAGGAAUACCGGUGGCGAAGGCGGCCACCUGGACAGUAACUGACGCUGAGGCGCGAAAGUGUGGGUAG
RNAcentral lists this ribosomal RNA (245 nucleotides) under uncultured bacterium. Its description in RNAcentral is "partial 16S ribosomal RNA". It matches the Rfam family "Bacterial small subunit ribosomal RNA", at positions 524 to 768 of the family's 1533-position model. The record is from RNAcentral.